Molecule: non-coding RNA, 751 nt
Filed under: Pongo abelii (Sumatran orangutan)
Lineage: Eukaryota; Metazoa; Chordata; Mammalia; Primates; Hominidae
Source: RNAcentral
AUCCACCCAAGACCCGGUUCUCCGAUUCCCAUCCUCAAGACCGGGGAGAAAAGAGGAGUAAAUUUUCCUAUUAUAGCCUUCUCUCGCACCUUCCCCGCUUCCCCCCAGCCGCCUCCACUGUCCUCACCGUCCCCAUCCUCAUCCAUGGCGAAAUCUUCGCCCCCAGCCUCGUGAAGAUCUAGCACGUCCGCCAUCUCGCCUUCGAUCGAGAUCUCGUCUGUGCCGCUCAGACACUAGAUGCUGUUGACUGGGGCAAAGAAUAAUGGGAGAAAAACAGCUGAGUCCUAAAUAACAGAGGGAAACCAACUUUCAAUAAAGUAUUCAACAACUAACCCACAAAGCAGAUAACUGAACUUGCUGGCCUGCUCUAUAGUGCUGUUGCUUAAAAAGUCAUCUGUGAAGAAAACCAGUGGGAGAAAUUUCACCUGCCAAAAUGGAUAAAGAGAUGGGAAAAGUGAGGCCCAGAGAUUUGCCCCAUUGAUAUUUAGAAGAAUGACUGUGCUUGCAGCAAGAAAUAUUGAGGGAUGAGGUACUAUCUUCACUCAGAUAAAGAACACGCUUUCUUCAACUUGUUGUAAAAUGGCAAGUUCCCCAAGCUGUGGGUUCCAUAAGUGUUCCUCUGUUGUGAAGCAACCCAUGGCCUAUGCAAGUAUCUACGAGUCCUCUGCAUUGGACUUGGGAGGAGGCAAGGAGAACUAAUAUAAACAUGAUGCUCAUGCUACUUGCUGUGCUAUGAAUAAUAAAUUCCUUU